RNAcentral lists this ribosomal RNA (253 nucleotides) under uncultured bacterium. RNAcentral's name for it is "partial 16S ribosomal RNA". It matches the Rfam family "Bacterial small subunit ribosomal RNA", at positions 524 to 776 of the family's 1533-position model. The record is from RNAcentral.
UACGUAGGGUGCGAGCGUUGUCCGGAAUUAUUGGGCGUAAAGAGCUUGUAGGCGGUUUGUCGCGUCUGCUGUGAAAAUCCGGGGCUCAACCCCGGACUUGCAGUGGGUACGGGCAGACUAGAGUGUGGUAGGGGAGACUGGAAUUCCUGGUGUAGCGGUGAAAUGCGCAGAUAUCAGGAGGAACACCGAUGGCGAAGGCAGGUCUCUGGGCCGGUACUGACGCUGAGGAGCGAAAGCGUGGGGAGCAAACAGG